CCGAAUGCAGGCCCGCAAACCUGUCUAAAAACGUCACGCUCGGCGCCCGCCCAGGUUUUUUUUCCUGGGUGGGGCGUGCGGGUUAGUUCACCCCGAGAAAGAAAAUCGUUAAUCGAAGUUGGGCGAGGGGCGCCUCGCCGAGUGCCCGUGUUAUAGCGGGCGCUCGAACCAAAGCGCACCCCACUUCAACCCCACUAAACUCUGAAUCUGAACUCAAAGGGGGGCGGCGCUCUCUGCAGCGCGGCUCCCCCAACCUUUAACGUU
Molecule: unclassified non-coding RNA, 264 nt
Filed under: Aureophycus aleuticus
Lineage: Eukaryota; Phaeophyceae; Laminariales
Description: ITS1
Source: RNAcentral